RNAcentral lists this ribosomal RNA (253 nucleotides) under uncultured bacterium. Its description in RNAcentral is "partial 16S ribosomal RNA". It matches the Rfam family "Bacterial small subunit ribosomal RNA", at positions 524 to 776 of the family's 1533-position model. The record is from RNAcentral.
UACGUAGGGUCCGAGCGUUGUCCGGAAUUAUUGGGCGUAAAGGGCUCGUAGGCGGUUCGUCACGUCGGGAGUGAAAACUCGGGGCUUAACCCCGAGCCUGCUUCCGAUACGGGCAGACUAGAGGUAGGCAGGGGAGAGCGGAACUCCUGGUGUAGCGGUGGAAUGCGCAGAUAUCAGGAAGAACACCGGUGGCGAAGGCGGCUCUCUGGGCCUGACCUGACGCUGAGGAGCGAAAGCGUGGGUAGCAAACAGG